UAUCUGGUUGAUCCUGCCAGUAGUGAUACGCUACCUUCAAAGAUUAAGCCAUGCAUGUCUCAGUACAGCCUCGACAAAGUGAAACCGCAAACAGCUCAUUAAAUCAGUUAUAACUUCCUUGCUCUCGAGUUCCUAAAUGGAUAACUGUGGUAAAUCUAGAGCUAAUACAUGCAUCCAGGCUCGUUCUCGGACGAGUCGCAUUUUAUUAGACCCAGACUGUAGGGCGUUCGUUUCGGCGGGCGUCUUCACUUCAGAGGUGAAUCUAGAUAACAAUCAGCUAUCAUUUAAGUCCUCUUCUGAGCGACGAUGAAGUGUAAUUCAGGCUUCUGCCUUAUCAACUUUUGUUGGUAGUCGACGGGACUACCAAGGUGAUCACGAGUAACGGGGAAUAUGGGUUCUAUUCCGGAGAAGGAGCCUGAGAAACGGCUACUACAUCUAAGGGUGGCAGCAGGCGCGCAAUUUGCCCAAUUUUAGAUGUAGGAGGCAGUGACGAGACAUAAACAUUGAAGAGCGUUGCUUCUGUAGCGUUUCUUCAAAUUAAAUUGUGAUUGAGCACAAUGUAAAUGCUUUGGCGAUUAUCUAUUGGAGGGCAAGUCUGGUGCCAGCAGCCGCGGUAAUUCCAGCUCCAAUAGCGUAUAUUAAUAUUGUUGCGGUUAAAAAGCUCAUAGUCUAAACUCGAUCUGUGCUUGAUUGUUCUCCAUUGGCUUCGCGGCCUUUGGUUUAUAUGGGCAAUCUUCUAGUACAGUUCAUAAACUGAUGUUUUGUUCGAUGGAUCGUGAUCUAUUGAAACAGCAUCAACGAUUACUUUGACUAAAUCAGAGUGAUCAAGACAGGUUCGUUUAGCACGACCUUGAAUGCUCUAGCAUGGAAUAAUAGAACAGGACUCGUUUUGGGUCUGGUGAAGUGUAUGUGUUUACACACUAUGGUCUCCAGUACCUCGAGUAAUGAUUAAAAGGGAUUGACGGGGGCAGUCGUAUUGCUGGGCUAGCGGUGAAAUGCAAUGACCCUGGUAAGACGUCCUAAAGCGAAAGCAUCUGCCUAGGAUGUUUUCAUUGAUCAAGAGCGAAAGUUAGAGGUGCGAAGGCGAUUAGAUACCGCCCUAGUUCUAACCAUAAACGAUGCCAACCAGCAAUCAGUCUGAGAAUUCAAGCUUUUUUAAAAAUCUUCAACGAUCUUGAAUUAGACUGGUUCUCCCGGAGAAAUCAGAGUGAUUAGGCUCCGGGGGAAGUAUGGUUGCAAGGCUGAAACUUAAAGGAAUUGACGGAGGGGCACCACAAGGAGUGGAGCUUGCGGCUUAAUUUGACUCAACACGGG
RNAcentral lists this non-coding RNA (1314 nucleotides) under Neofusicoccum parvum UCRNP2. RNAcentral's name for it is "Eukaryotic small subunit ribosomal RNA". It matches the Rfam family "Eukaryotic small subunit ribosomal RNA", at positions 1 to 1209 of the family's 1831-position model. The record is from Rfam by way of RNAcentral. Lineage: Eukaryota; Fungi; Ascomycota; Dothideomycetes; Botryosphaeriales; Botryosphaeriaceae.